AAACNACUGCNAAUACCGCAUAAUGUCUCCGGACCAAAGCGGGCUCCGGCUCGCACCUGAAGAGAGGCCCAAGUGAGAUUAGCUAGUUGGUAAGGUAAAGGCUUACCAAGGCGACGAUCUCUAGCUGUUCUGAGAGGAAGAUCAGCCACACUGGGACUGAGACACGGCCCAGACUCCUACGGGAGGCAGCAGUGGGGAAUAUUGCACAAUGGGGGAAACCCUGAUGCAGCCAUGCCGCGUGUGUGAAGAAGGCCCUCGGGUUGUAAAGCACUUUCAGUUGUGAGGAAAAGUUG
RNAcentral lists this ribosomal RNA (293 nucleotides) under uncultured bacterium. RNAcentral describes it as "partial 16S ribosomal RNA". It matches the Rfam family "Bacterial small subunit ribosomal RNA", at positions 154 to 455 of the family's 1533-position model. The record is from RNAcentral.